GACGAACGCUGGCGGCGUGCUUAACACAUGCAAGUCGAACGGAAAGGCCCUGCUUUUGUGGGGUGCUCGAGUGGCGAACGGGUGAGUAACACGUGAGUAACCUGCCCUUGACUUUGGGAUAACUUUAGGAAACUGGGGCUAAUACCGGAUAGGAGCUCCUGCUGCAUGGCGGGGGUUGGAAAGUUUCGGCGGUUGGGGAUGGACUCGCGGCUUAUCAGCUUGUUGGUGGGGUAGUGGCUUACCAAGGCUUUGACGGGUAGCCGGCCUGAGAGGGUGACCGGCCACAUUGGGACUGAGAUACGGCCCAGACUCCUACGGGAGGCAGCAGUGGGGAAUAUUGCACAAUGGGCGGAAGCCUGAUGCAGCAACGCCGCGUGCGGGAUGACGGCCUUCGGGUUGUAAACCGCUUUCGCCUGUGACGAAGCGUGAGUGACGGUAAUGGGUAAAGAAGCACCGGCUAACUACGUG
This 468-nucleotide ribosomal RNA is filed under the name uncultured bacterium. RNAcentral describes it as "partial 16S ribosomal RNA". It matches the Rfam family "Bacterial small subunit ribosomal RNA", at positions 28 to 507 of the family's 1533-position model. The record is from RNAcentral.